Equus caballus (horse) is the source of this 1513-nucleotide long non-coding RNA. RefSeq lists it as uncharacterized. NCBI's taxonomy places the organism in Eukaryota, Metazoa, Chordata, Mammalia, Perissodactyla, Equidae. The record is from RefSeq and is a predicted model, not a curated record.
CUGAGACCACCAUGCUGUGAAAGGCUAAACCACAGAGAGUGAUGACAUGGGAUGUAGCAAGAAAGAAAAAGAGAGAGGACAAGGAGGAAUGAGGCACCAGAUGCAUGAGGAAGCCAUCAUGGACGUCCAGCCUAGUUGAACUUUCAGAUGGUCCAGCUCCCCCCACCAAUGACUACACCUGCAUGACAGACUCUAAGUAAGAACCACCUGGUGAAGCCUGGCGAACCCACAGAGCCAUGAAAGAUAAGAAUAAACUGCUUUUAAGCCACUAAGCUUGAGGGUGGUUUGUUAGGAAGCAAUGGAUAAUGGGAACAGAACUAAAUACAAAAUUACCUAUUAUGACUACAUAAUCAAACAAGAAGUAGAGUAUAAUUUGAGAGUCAUAACUAGGAACGUACACUUGCCUUUAGAAAGCAGGUCUGAGGACUUCAUGGAAUGCUCUCUGCAUAAUUAUGUUUAGGCUGAGACCUGAACAGUGAGUAGAAGAAAGAAAAACACAAGAGGGGAAGAGUUUGGGGCAGAAAGAACAGCCCAAGCAAAGUCCUGAGGAUGGGGAUGUGCUCAUACAUUCUAGGAAGGGAGAGAAGCGUUUUCAUGACCACCGUUUAGAUGGACAGAUGCCCACUGCUGUCCCCACCCGACACACCAAACACGUAAGAAAGACGAGCUGCUUUCCAAGCACAGCUGUCGCAGAUGGGAGAUGCUCCGUGCCUCUGUCAUGAGGAGGGCUGCUGGCCGGGAGGGUGGACACACUGUGCAAAAAGGGAGACCAGCACUUUGCUGCCUGAGAAUUGCUCAUCCAUGACAAGGCACAGACAUCGAUCAGCAACUGCCAUUGCCUGCCCUGGUCUGAAAAGAUGAGAGGAGGAAAAGGAGAGAGCGUGCUACUGAGCAAUGAAUAAAAGCAUAAGUAUCACGGACCGCUAAUAUGUGCACUGUUAAGCACAAGAGUCUUAACAGUCAUGCCUCUUGCAUCAGUGCAACAUAAGUAAAUGACACACGUAAUCAACAAAAUGUCACCAAGCACAUUACGCUGAGCGCCCGAGUCACAGCUUGCAACCCCUGACAUGGUAUGAGUGUUUAGUUAAGUCUUUACAUUAGGUGUAACCUUACAUAAAAUGUAACCUUUACAUUAAGUGAUCUGCUGAGCAUGGAGCACUCAAAUUCUGUCACCAAUCAUGAUAUACUUUGCACAAACAUUUCCCUCCAUCUACUCCCCUACAGCUGAUUUUUUUUUCUUUUGAAAGUCCACACAAUUAUGAAUCUGAAAUACUGUCCAGAAGGAUAACUUCAUUGGGAUAUGAUAUGGAAAACUCUCUUAGAACCAAGAAUUUCAAUAUGCAUUCUCUCUCUGUGCAAAGCUCAUUUUGCCUCUUUGCUUAAUGAAAUUUCAAUUGGACUCAAUUUAUGUGUUUAUGUGCAACUAAUUCAUAAACAUAAUUGUUUUUUAACAUUUUUAUUUUUUUCCUUUUUCUCCCCAAAGACCCCCAGUACAUAGUUGUAUAUUCUUCGU